RNAcentral lists this long non-coding RNA (7353 nucleotides) under Triticum aestivum (bread wheat). RNAcentral describes it as "long non-coding RNA (TAES_LNC008031)". The record is from RNAcentral. Lineage: Eukaryota; Viridiplantae; Streptophyta; Magnoliopsida; Poales; Poaceae.
UACAGAAUAAUGGAAUCUCAGUUUACCUACUUAAAAACCACUUGAUAUGAAAGGAAACUUUUCUACAAAGUAAUCUUGCAGAAUAAGCUCCAGAAGCUGCCAAUACUCCAUCAUGACUUGGAUGAUUUUUCGAAUCCAGAAUUAAUGGCUUCUAAUGCAUCUGAAAAGGUAGAAUACAGCUGAAUCAGUUCACUCUUGCGCACGUCAUUAACAUGUAUUAAGGAAUACUGCAAAAUCUAGACGAGAAUGGAGAAACUAAUUACAAACAGGAAAAAAGAAGUAUUCCAUGGAUAGGCAAACUCUCUGUCGAUCAUACAUGUAUGACAAGCAGAAGUAACGGCUAUACGUUGCCGGUUGAAUCCACCCACAACAUAAAUAAAGAUAUACCAAGUAGUUUCAUUCUCUGACACAAAAUCUGCAGAAUAGUUUGUCAUGAGGUUUCUAACUAUGAUUGAUAAACAUAAAUAGAGGUUUAUUAGGCCGGAUUCUACUAACUGCAUCGCCAACACAGGGAUGAUGCACGGCUGUCAACUGCGAAAGAUGCCAAAGCGCACAAAUAAAAGAGGCCACUGAGCCCAACCCGUGACCCAGCACCAAACAGUGCACACGGACGAAAAGAUGGCCUCCGAGUCCAGUCAUGACCCAGCACCGAUAAAUGUGCACGGAACAAAACAAAUGCAGUGAAAAGAUCCCCUACGAGGGCACAGUCGUAAAAAAAUAGUGCAAUUGCAUCCCCUGGGUUGGCACGUGCUAUACAUUAGCACGGGGCUUUUUGUUCAAAUUCCUUUUUUAAAGAUUUUUUCAACACAACACCUCUUGUAUCCUUGCCUUGUCGGUUGUCGCUCAUCACUUGAACAACUCCAGCACCGCCACCGUCGCCGGGAUGCAGCUCUAACAGCAAAAACCGGAAGCCAACCAUGGCGACUAGCGUGUCUGGCUGCAGCGGCCAUGGAGAGGAGCGCUUGAAGCCAGCCAUGGUGUUCAAUCGCAGCUGCCGUGAGGUUCAUGAGCCAUAUCCGGACCUCCUGCAGCAAUCAGAAUCGAGAAAAAAUUCAGUAACAUAUUGCUGUCUCUGGAUUCAGAAAUGCCUAAAGCAAGAAUUACAUCGAACUUCAAAUAAGAAACACGGACUUCCCUUAUUCAAAAUGAAAGUAAUUUCCAACGGAAAUAACAGCCCUACAAAUUCAAAUAAGAAACACCAAGGAAAAAAAGCCUGCCUAUGAAACGGCCCUGUUCCGUUCCUUGGAGUCUGCCUAUGCUCUCCGCGCUCUUGCCCUUUGCCAGAUUAGAUCAAUGUUCAGCAUCAGUAAUAGUACGGCAGCAGAAUUUUAACUUGCCUAAAAUAAAGUCUACUGCUUGGUGAGAAAAUGUAGCAGUAGCAAACGAAACCUCAAGCAGAUUAAACAUUUACUACAGUACAUGGACUUCUCGUAACCACAGAAUUACCAGGCCAUCAGUAACAACUUGGCAGAACAUGAGAAAAUGUCAAAGACAAGGAUCACCAUUUUCAGAAAAUAUAAACAGUGAGCAUAUUACAGAAGUUAGAAGUAAUGUAAACAGUGAGCAUACAGCUAGCUCUACUGUCACCAACUAGGAUAAUUACUGAUGCUUCACAUUCACUUCCAUGUCAAUCACUUAAGUGGAGAUAAAACUGAAACUUCCUUGCUAUAACAACCACAACAUAUUAACAAAAAUGAGCGAUGCAGCACUAUACCUACUAAGAAAAUCCAUCAACACGCACACACUCAUCAGAUUCCGACACAAUAUAUAUGUAUCCCACAUGACUGAGUUACAUGUGUGGAUGUGCUUCCAUACAGCCAGCAAUCAAGACAUCCUCAUGUCCCUUAAGCAAGACAGGACUUGCACAAUGGUUGAAUGUGAAAGAUAUUCUCGUGAAAAUAUCUCUCGCGGCCUGCAGUGAGAAAAUAGAACAAAUUAUCCAACUGCAUAGCAUAUUCCUAUUCUCGUCUAGCUAUUAAAAUGUAAAACAGAAAAUAAUUAUCAGGUGUUCAUAGUCUAAAAUCUGUUGCUUAUACUAUUUACCUGUAUCAACAUGUACUGAUAAAAUGCCAUGGAUAUUUGCACAGCUAUCAAGCAAAACAGCAUCAUAUAUAACUUCCAUAUUUGCACAGCUAUCAACUAAAGCAGCAUUAUAUAUCAACCCAGCGUUUUUUUAAGAAUCUUCGACUAACAGAAAUAAUUCUUUAGGAUAGUGCUAACCAGAUCUCUGUAGCCAAAUAAUAAGAGCCUGAGUCAUGUCCAAAUUAUCACAAUCAGAGAACCAACAUUAUCCUUUUUGCUUACUAGUUUCAUUAUAUAUGCAAAACAUAUGGAUAAGCAACCUGGAAAUAUUCGCGCAUUUCAUCAUGAUGGCAAAGAAGUAGUGAUCUUUACCUUGAUCAAACAAGGAGAGCAGUUACUUCAUUUGCUAAUCCUAUUCCAUUCUAGCCGGUGCAUGCAGAGUCAAAUUCCAACUAAUAGUAUCAUCAUUUUAAGAUCUGUAACCUCCUCUUACUGCACGUAUACAAGGAGUUCAGAUAUAUUACAACACAAGUGGUAUGCACUGCUCGUAGUUAAUAGUAGCAUUGCUCACAUAAGAAUAUGAACAAGAGAAAGUAUUUGACAAGCAUUGCUCACAGCAGAAUGUAAAAUUUAUAAGAUCUAAACGGAUAACCCUAGCAUUGCACAUUUAGGCUUGGGUCGUAACAUAUCACCAAUAGAGUAGGAAACCUGGUAAACUCAGUUAGUAGCCCUUUUCGCUGCUUACUUAGCACUGCUUAUUUCGAAGGAAAGCUGAAGAAAUAUGGGUAAACAUCCACUAAAUCAAUUAGGGAACAUGUGACUCACGGCAUAUAACACAAACAGGUUCAACAAAUAUUAUUGGUUUACCAAAGUCCAUCAGGAAACAUGUGCAACAAAGAAAAACAGAAAAGCAAGUCAUCUUGCAGAGAAGUAGAAGUCAACCACAGAAAAUUCUAACCUUCUGUAAAACACUUGCGCAGUCAAAUACAAAAUAAUGGAAUCUCAGUUUACCUACUUAAAAAUCACUUGAUAUGGGAGGAAACUUUUUUACAAAGUAAUCUUGCAGAAUAAGCUCCAGAAGCUGCCAAUACUCCAUCAUGAAUUGGAUGAUUUUUCGAAUCCAGAAUCAAUGGCUUCUAAUUUCUAAUGCAUUUGAAAAGGUAAAAUACAGCUCAAUCAGUCCACUCUUGCCCACGUCACUAACACAUACUAAGGAAUACUGCAAAAUCUAGACGAGAAUGGAGAAACUAAUUACAAAUAGGAAAAAAGAAGUAUUCCAUGGAUAGGCAAAAUCUUUGUCGAUCAUACAUGUAUGACAAGCAGAAGUAAUGGCUAUACGUUGCCGGUUGAAUCCACCCAUAGCAUAAAUAAAGAUUAGUUUCAUUCUCUGACAAAAGAUCUGCAGAAUAGUUUGUCAUGAGGUUUCAAACUAUGAUUGGUAAACAUAAACAGAGGAUAAGCACACAUGAAUUUUUCCUGAGUUGUGUAGAAAAAGGCCUUUAAAGACAAUAAUGAAGAGAGUACUAUUACAUAAUUGAUUUAUAUUUCCGUUUUUCCUCUCCAACUAGCCAGGUUGGGCAUAAACCCUGGAAUUAAUAACAAAAUAAAUGAGAAGAUUCAGAGUCUGGGUGCAGCGGCGACUUGGGUGUCGCGUGACGCAAUGGUGCGAGGCCGCGGCAGAAAGCGGUGGUGCGAGGCGGCGGCAGCGGGACGCGGUGGUGUAAGGCUGCGUCGACGUUACGCCGUGGUGCUGCCUAGGCCGCGGCGGCAGGGCUGUUGGCGACGGCUAUGCUAUUGGCGGUGCUUAGGGCUUCCUCGCUGCUCCGCCGUUGCCGUUCCGAGGGGAUGACGGGAGCAGGGAGGCUAACUGACCUAGGUGGAGAAAAGGGAGGACCCAGCAACGACGACCGCGGCGGCCAAGCUGUUGGCGGUGGCGGCGACGACGCGCACGCAGAGGUGCUACACCCGCCAUGAGUAGCAGGAGACUCUGCGGCGAAGACACGAGAGUGGAAGGGGAACGGGCCUCGGGCCGGUGCGGGACAAGAAAUCCACCGGGCAGAUUAGUACCAUACCGAAAGUUUAAUCAGGACGUGACCAGUUUAUUAGGCCCAAUUCUACUAGCUGUAUCGCCAACACAGGGAAAAUGCAUGGCUGUCGGCUGUGAAAGAUGCCAAAGCGCACAAAUAAAAGAGGCCAUCGAGCCCAACCCGUGACCCAGCACCCAAUAGUGCACACGGACGAAAAGAUGGCCUCUGAGCCCAGCCGUGACCCAGCACCGAUAAGUGCACACGGACCAAAAUAAAUGCAGCGAAAAGAUCCCCUAUGAGGGCACAGUCGUAAAAAAAUAGCACAAUUGCAUCCCCUGAGUUGGCAAGUGCUAGACAUUAGCACUUGGCUUUUUGUUCAGAUUCCAUUUUUAAGGCUUUUCCUACAAGAAAACACAUGGGAUGCAGCAGCCAUCGAGAGCAGUGCUCGAAGCCAGCCAUGGCGUCCGCUCGCAGCUGCCGCGAGGUUGCUUGUAGUGGCCAGGGCACAUCGCGCGGCCAGCUUUUUGCUGCCCCUCCUCGAUGUUUGUUGCUGCAGUGAAGAAGAAAGCGGAUGAGCGAGAAAUCAAACAUUCUAUGAAAGAGUGAGAGUUCAAACAGAAUAAGAUUGCUAGAUCGUAAAAUAGGGUAGCUAGGGUAGCUCAUUGUCCUAUGAAUUAUGUAUGGACAACUCGAAACAAUGCAUGUUGGUUGCAUAGAGCUCCUUAUUUUGUUAAGGAUCUUGUAAUAGCUGAUUGCAACCCUAUUGAAUUGAAAUAAAAACUCGGAUUCCCUGCAAAAAAAGGUGGAUGAGCAGCGGAGGAGAUGGAGAUGUGCUGCUACAGCAACAAGAGAGAUAUUUCACAGGGUGGGAAAGAGAUGAGAAUAAGAAGGACGGUGUUAACGCCCAUUGCAAGUUGGAAUGGCAGGACGCUCGGAGCUGCCUCCCAUGCGUGCGAUCUAGCCAGAUCGGACGCAUCGCGUGCGUCCGGCUCAAAGUUGUGUCGACCAGCCAUGUUCAAACAUUUUUCUUUUUUAACAUAUCAGCAAACCGUGUAACUAUCUCUUUAUAUUGUUGUCCAGGGCAGUGCUAUACAAGGUACACAGAUCAAAUUCCACGUGAAGCGCUAAUGAUAGAGGACAGAACCAUAUAGACACUUACCAGUAGCACACUCUUGUCAUUACACACACGCGCGUCGAGUGCAGAGAGACAUCAAGACGAACGCACUAACCAACGAAGGGCAUGAUUCCACGAGAUAGGCUAGUCUCCGACUUGCAUUCUGAUCUUGGGAUAAAGCUCUCAUCGUCAUGCCCACCAGGUUCAGAGGUGUGGGUGUUGGCUAUUCUAUCGUCGUCCUUGGCGAAACAAUAGCAAGGUUGGGCAUAAACCAUGGAAUUAAUAACAAAAUAAAUGAGAAGAUUCAGAGUCUGGGUGCAGCGGCGACCUGGGUGUCGCGUGACGCAAUGGUGCGAGGCCGCGACAGAAAGCGGUGGUGCGAGGCGGCGGCAACGGGACGCGGUGGUGUAAGGCUGCAUCGGCGGAACGCCGUGGUGCUGCCUAGGCCGCGCCGGCAGGGCUGUUGGCGACGGCUAUGCUAUUAGCGGUGCCUAGGGCUUCCUCGCUGCUCCGCCGUUGCCGUUCCGAGGGGAUGACGGGAGCAGGGAGGCUAACUGACCUAGGUGGAGAAAAGGGAGGACCCAGCGACGACGACCACGGCGGCCAAGCUGUUGGCGGUGGAACUUCCGGUCAAAACCCUAUCUCAAGCAUCACCCUAUCCUGUAGUACAAAGUUUAAGUUCCAUAUCAGUUCUGCACUUGUCAUUUCUUCCGGUCAAAACCCGUUCUAAAAGUUGAACAGAGUGCUAGUUGGUGGAACUUCCCUGAUCCUGAUUACAGGUGAAAAGCUCAGUUCUGUCACUGGCCAUCUUCUCAUUUCCGGCAUGGAGAGUGAGUAAAUUAUCUGAAUAAAUAAUUUCUAAUUCGUAGAAUGGCAAAUGUUUUCUUCUUUUUCAAUAGGCUCUGCAACAGUUGGAAAACAGCUGAUAAUGUCACCACCCUGCAAUUGUGCUCAUGUGCUGAAAUGGUUGUUUGCACUACAAACCUAGCUCCAGUUACACCUGCAAAAAUUCUAGCCUUGAGUAGAAUUGACCGUUCAGUAAUACUACCCCAAUAUUACUUCAUUGGCAGCUAUCUCAAGCAUCACCCUAUCCUGUAGUACAAAGUUUAAGUUCCAUAUCAGUUCUGCACUUGUCAUUUCUUCUGGUCAAAACCCGUUCUAAAAGUUGAACAGAGUGCUAGUUGGUGGAACUUCCCUGAUCCUGAUUACAGGUGAAAAGCUCAGUUCUGUCACUGGCCAUCUUCUCAUUUCCGGCAUGGAGAGUGAGUAAAUUAUCUGAAUAAAUGAUUUCUAAUUCGUAGAAUGGCAAAUGUUUUCUUCUUUUUCAAUAGGCUCUGCAACAGUUGGAAAACAGCUGAUAACUUGUCAAAAGUAGUUGCAGAAGACGUAACGGGUAAAUGUAUCAUCAACUACUUCCUAAAACUUGGAUAGCUUUUCAUUAGUUUCCCCAAAAGUGAUUGAAUGAAAAGUUAUUCAUGAUUCUAUUUCCUUUAGUGUCUCACAGUGCAUUGAUCUAGGAAGUUGACUAGUGAUGUAGGAAGAUGUCAGACUGGAUGGCAAAAAAGAAAGGGAGGUGGGAUAUGCAAUCUGUAGCACUAUCUGAAUUCUUACUUGGAUUAUCAUCACUUCCCGACUAAAAUUCUUGAUCAAGUGAUACAUGCUUGUCACGGUAGUCCUGGACAUUUCCAAAAAAUUGCAAGUGAUACAUUCUUGAUCAAGUGAUUUGGAUUAUCAACUUAUAUACUUAAUUUUUGUUGGACUGCAAUAUAUUGCGCUCAACAUAUUACAGUUCCUAAAGCUUUGCAUAUUGGGCAUAAACCGUGGAAUUAAUAACAAAAUAAAUGAGAAGAUUCAGAGUCUGGGUGCAGCGGCGACCUGGGUGUCGCGUGACGCAAUGGUGCGAGGCCGCGGCAGAAAGCAGUGGUGCGAGGCGGCGGCAGCGGGACGCGAUGGUGUAAGGCUGCGUCGGCGGAACGCCAUGGUGCUGCCUAGGCCGCGGCGGCAGGGCUGUUGGCGACGGCUAUGCUAUUGGCGGUGCAUAGGGCUUCCUCGCUGCUCCGCCGUUGCCGUUCCGAGGGGAUGACGGGAGCAGGGAGGCUAACUGACCUAGGUGGAGAAAAGGGAGGACCCAGCGACGACGACCGCGGCGGCCAAGCUGUUGGCGGUGGCGGCGACGACGCGCACGCAGAG